This 425-nucleotide ribosomal RNA is filed under the name uncultured bacterium. RNAcentral describes it as "partial 16S ribosomal RNA". It matches the Rfam family "Bacterial small subunit ribosomal RNA", at positions 354 to 796 of the family's 1533-position model. The record is from RNAcentral.
GUGGGGAAUCUUGCGCAAUGGGCGAAAGCCUGACGCAGCCAUGCCGCGUGAAUGAUGAAGGUCUUAGGAUUGUAAAAUUCUUUCACCGGGGACGAUAAUGACGGUACCCGGAGAAGAAGCUCCGGCUAACUUCGUGCCAGCAGCCGCGGUAAUACGAAGGGGGCUAGCGUUGCUCGGAAUUACUGGGCAUAAAGGGCGCGUAGGCGGACAGCUUAGUCAGAGGUGAAAGCCCAGGGCUCAACCUUGGAAUUGCCUUUGAUACUGGCUGUCUUGAGUUUGGGAGAGGUGAGUGGAACUCCGAGUGUAGAGGUGAAAUUCGUAGAUAUUCGGAAGAACACCAGUGGCGAAGGCGACUCACUGGCCCAAUACUGACGCUGAGGCGCGAAAGCGUGGGGAGCAAACAGGAUUAGAAACCCGGGUAGUCC